Molecule: long non-coding RNA, 3055 nt
Filed under: Homo sapiens (human)
Lineage: Eukaryota; Metazoa; Chordata; Mammalia; Primates; Hominidae
Description: HSALNT0365813
Source: RNAcentral
CAGGCUGAAAAAUUCUAUUGUGUGUGUGUACCACAUUUUCUUUAUCCAUUCAUCUCUUGAUGGACAUUUGGGUCGUUUCCAUAACUUGACUCUUCUUAACCUUGUUGCAGUGAACACGGGAGUGCAGAUAUCUUUUGAAGAUCCUGUUUUCAAUUCUUUUGGGUAUAUACUCGGUAGUAGGGUUGCAAAUUAAAAAUGGAGCUCUCACAGACCAUUAUUUUCUUGAUCCUUUGGUGCAUUUACUUUGGGUUGCCUAGGAACUCCUCCGUCUGUGGAUUUACCUUGUAGAGUCAGAGGGGAUGAUUGGGGAACCUGCAUGGCGAUGUGGGUUUUGAGCCUCUUUGGAAUUCAAACAAUACUGAUUUACCAGAACAAGAAAAUUUGGCUUUGGCCCCAAUACAGGCUGAGAAAGUUCAUCUUUUUAAAAGGGGCCAGUUCUUGAUUAGUUAGGGUACUGGAAUGGUCCAGGGAGGGAUAACUCAGGCCAUUUGCUUUGCCUCCUUCCCUUUCUUUCUGUCUGAUCUUUGGCCAGUUCAUGGCUUUCUAAUCCUGCCACUGGGGGAUGAAGGAAGAUUAAACUUGUGCCGUUGCCUUUGCAUGUUAUGAGCUCUCCAGAAAAAGUUUGCAUGGGAAUGGCCGAAGAUGUGGUAAGUUAAAGCAAAAUCAAUACACAGUUUACUAUCCAUGUCUUUCUGCUACCCUGCAAAUUUUCUUCCUCUCCAUGUAAUCUCUUUAUUGCAGCCUAGGAACUUUGUCAAGGGCUCCAUGACCAGGGUCUUUAGGAAACUCCAAAGACCUGAGAUUUCACCAGCAGAAAUGACAGCUGUUCCAAAAACAGAAAGGAGGUAAUUUCUUGUGUUUCAAAUUUCUCCAAAGGUGAGAGUUAAGACUCACUCUCAAGAUCUUUAUGUCACAUAGGUAAUGAGAGGAAGGGGUAGCAUUUUAACAGAUCACAUUCCCAAGGCCAAUCCAACGGGAGGGCUGGAAUUUGGGGAGGCUGCAGGGAGCAGGACUUUGGUGCCGCAAUCACUGGUUACCCUGUAAUAGUAUCUCAGGAGACUUUCCUGGUUACUGAGGACCAGAACUGUAGCUGAUUUUCAGCCCAAUACUUGGUGGGUUCUGUGGAGUCCAGCAUUCAAAGCCCUACCAUCGAGUGUGACUUCAGUGUCACAGGCAGAUGGUGUCACCAAGGCAUAAUGACUCCUGACCUGUGGCUCUGCUCUUCCUCCUUUCUCUUCCUCUCUCCCCUUCCCUGGGGGCCUGUGGUCCAGAGCUGCAUUCCUUUGUUAUCACACUUCCUUCCACAGACUGCACACGCCUGUUCAGGACACCAAGCUGUGUGAAAGCACUCCAGGCUGGUGGGAAUACCGCUCCCAGAAAGAAUCUGACUUGUUUCAGAAGCUUAUCUUCUGGCACUUGCUCUUCCAAAGAAAAAGGCUGCAGCAGGAGGAUAAAAGAGGCAAUCCAGGAGUGUGUGAGAUGGAGCCAGUUACAUGCAUCUCAGCCCAGGGAGGGAGUGAGGAGGGAAUGAAUGCGGCCUAAGUCCCUCACCUGCAAUGUGUAGGAGGUAAAUGAACCUGCUCACCCUCCCUCUCACCCAGCCACAUUCAGGGUCAUUUGCUGUAGCUCAGGUGGCUGCGGCUAGGGUGGGGUUGCCAGGUGGAAUAAUGGUCAUGCACAGCUGCCCCUCCACAGGGGCUGAGCCCAGGGUGGCUUCACUGGAAGAGGGUGUGGGACAAGCUGGGUAUCCUGGCUGACAUCUCUGCUAGCUGUCGGAAAGUUGAGUGAGGGAUGGGGUAGCUGUAUCUGUGUGUGUAUAUGUGAGAGAGUGUGUGUUUGCUGGGUCCUCGUAUGUGUUUGUUUCAGAUGGAUGUGUGUGGGUUUGAGGCCAGGGGAAUGGUGAGUCAGGGCAGCCCUGGGGGCAGGGAGGGGUGGGUGUGAGCAGGGCGAGUGAAGUGGCUGCAGCAGGAACAGGGGAGGCAUGCGGAACAUGGGUGGCAUGAGAGCUGACGCUACGACUGAAUGGAUUUUGAAAGGUCUUUGUCUGCCUCAAUUAAAAGGAUAGAUCCUUUUUUUCUUUAAGGCUGAAUAAAUAAUUUUUUCCCUUUUCUUCUUUGGUUCUUUUCAUAUAACAAUUUGUCAAACUCCGUCAAAAACAAACACAAACAGAAAAACCCAAAAGUCUUCUUGAAUGGGUUCAAGGUGCAGGAGGCACAGCUGAGCUGUGGGGAGCAGCGGUGCAGGAGCGGGGUGCUCGGUGGACUCUGGACCUGCUCUUGGGGCUGCUGGCCCCCUUCUUGCCCGUGUGGCCAGGGCAGCCCUUUGGAAAAGCUGUGCUGUAGCUUCAUCUUUUGUUUUGGCUUUUAUUGGCAUAUUCUUUUGUUCUCUUUAACUGCAUCCAAUCAAAUUGGCACAUCUGAGGUUCGGGAAGAUGGUUUGGAGCCAUUCCAUUACUCUGCCUAUCGAAUUCUGGGAUUUCUGCUUCCUGCCCUGUCCUGUCUUCUGUCCCCAGCUCACCCGGCCCCUACUGAUGUCAUGCUUUAUCAGCUUUCCACUGUGCAUGUAACUCUGCCUGGCAUUUGGUAUUGGGGUGGGUGUGGUGCUUUGAGAGAGGCACAGCAGAACCACUGAGAGAAAGGACGGUGUUUUUCCGUUUAGACCCUCAUUCAUCCCCUCCUUUCUCUAUUUUGCAGGUGCAGAACAUUGAGUUAUGGGGGUCCAGGGUAAACUUGGCUACCUUGGUAAACAUGGCUACAAGAUGUCAUGUUGGAGCAUUGCAGACUGCUCUUCUCCCUUCUGCCUUUACAUACAAGAUGCCUGUUGCUGAGAACACUUGUUCCCACUUCUCUAGCAGGCAAGGAUCUGGGCAGGACAACAACCACAGGCAUGUGCUUUCUCAUCAUGUGAUGUCAUCUGCCAGGUCAUGAUGCAGCAAGAAGGCCCUCACCAGAUGCCACCCCUCCAGAACCAUGAGCCAAAUAAAUGUCUGUUCUUUAUAAAUGAACCAGUCUGUAUUAUUCUGUUAUAGCAGCACAAAAUGGGUUAAGACAGGAAC